Gekko japonicus is the source of this 209-nucleotide long non-coding RNA. RefSeq lists it as uncharacterized. The transcript has 3 exons. NCBI's taxonomy places the organism in Eukaryota, Metazoa, Chordata, Lepidosauria, Squamata, Gekkonidae. The record is from RefSeq and is a predicted model, not a curated record.
GCGAUGAGCAGAUUAUGGCGCUAAGAAGAUACCAGCCCACUUUAAAGGAUAUGGAAAUGUACCAGUCUUUCAAAGGUUCUCCUUCAGAACUACAUCAGGUGGAUCAGUUUAUGCUAGAAAUGUGUAAAAUACCUAACUUGGGCCAAAGGCUGGACCUCCUGCUUGCUGUACGUGAACUUCCAGCCUCCAUGGCAGAGCUGGAGCCAGUA